This 226-nucleotide ribosomal RNA is filed under the name uncultured bacterium. RNAcentral describes it as "partial 16S ribosomal RNA". It matches the Rfam family "Bacterial small subunit ribosomal RNA", at positions 538 to 763 of the family's 1533-position model. The record is from RNAcentral.
GCGUUGCUCGGAAUUACUGGGCGUAAAGGGCGCGUAGGCGGACAGUUUAGUCAGAGGUAAAAGCCCAGGGCUCAACCUUGGAACUGCCUUUGAUACUGGCUGUCUUGAGUUCGGGAGAGGUGAGUGGAAUGCCGAGUGUAGAGGUGAAAUUCGUAGAUAUUCGGCGGAACACCAGUGGCGAAGGCGACUCACUGGCCCGAUACUGACGCUGAGGCGCGAAAGCGUG